This 754-nucleotide ribosomal RNA is filed under the name uncultured bacterium. Its description in RNAcentral is "bacterial SSU rRNA". It matches the Rfam family "Bacterial small subunit ribosomal RNA", at positions 52 to 801 of the family's 1533-position model. The record is from RNAcentral.
UACCAUGCAAGUCGAGCGGUAGAGAGAAGCUUGCUUCUCUUGAGAGCGGCGGACGGGUGAGUAAUGCCUAGGAAUCUGCCUGGUAGUGGGGGAUAACGUUCGGAAACGGACGCUAAUACCGCAUACGUCCUACGGGAGAAAGCAGGGGACCUUCGGGCCUUGCGCUAUCAGAUGAGCCUAGGUCGGAUUAGCUAGUUGGUGGGGUAAUGGCUCACCAAGGCGACGAUCCGUAACUGGUCUGAGAGGAUGAUCAGUCACACUGGAACUGAGACACGGUCCAGACUCCUACGGGAGGCAGCAGUGGGGAAUAUUGGACAAUGGGCGAAAGCCUGAUCCAGCCAUGCCGCGUGUGUGAAGAAGGUCUUCGGAUUGUAAAGCACUUUAAGUUGGGAGGAAGGGCAGUAAAUUAAUACUUUGCUGUUUUGACGUUACCGACAGAAUAAGCACCGGCUAACUCUGUGCCAGCAGCCGCGGUAAUACAGAGGGUGCAAGCGUUAAUCGGAAUUACUGGGCGUAAAGCGCGCGUAGGUGGUUAGUUAAGUUGGAUGUGAAAUCCCCGGGCUCAACCUGGGAACUGCAUUCAAAACUGACUGACUAGAGUAUGGUAGAGGGUGGUGGAAUUUCCUGUGUAGCGGUGAAAUGCGUAGAUAUAGGAAGGAACACCAGUGGCGAAGGCGACCACCUGGACUGAUACUGACACUGAGGUGCGAAAGCGUGGGGAGCAACAGGAUUAGAUACCCUGGUAGUCCACGCC